AGGCGUAUGGCGGAGUGGUUAAACGCGCAAGACUUAAAAUCUUGUAACAAUUCAAUUUUGGGUUCGACUCCCA
This 73-nucleotide transfer RNA is filed under the name Flavobacterium columnare. Its description in RNAcentral is "tRNA-Leu". It matches the Rfam family "tRNA", at positions 1 to 62 of the family's 71-position model. Rfam says of the family: Transfer RNA (tRNA) molecules are approximately 80 nucleotides in length. Their secondary structure includes four short double-helical elements and three loops (D, anti-codon, and T loops). Lineage: Bacteria; Pseudomonadati; Bacteroidota; Flavobacteriia; Flavobacteriales; Flavobacteriaceae. The record is from RNAcentral.